AUUAUAUAAUCUUAAAUACUAAA
RNAcentral lists this small nuclear RNA (23 nucleotides) under Arabidopsis thaliana (thale cress). Its description in RNAcentral is "snRNA_06371". Lineage: Eukaryota; Viridiplantae; Streptophyta; Magnoliopsida; Brassicales; Brassicaceae. The record is from RNAcentral.